Long non-coding RNA from Monodelphis domestica (gray short-tailed opossum), 577 nucleotides. RefSeq lists it as uncharacterized. NCBI's taxonomy places the organism in Eukaryota, Metazoa, Chordata, Mammalia, Didelphimorphia, Didelphidae. The record is from RefSeq and is a predicted model, not a curated record.
GCCUAAUGUGUUCAAAUCUACACCAUAAAGAUGCUCUGACCUCCCAGUGUUCCAAAGCCUGGGUUCCAGGCUGGUUACUGUUGCCAGUACAGCAUUGAUGCUCUGAGAAUAAAGAGUAACCUUCCUGACCCAGGCCAGGAGAAGCUUUAGACACUGAGCAAAGUUCUCAGUCUACGCCUCCAGAGAUUGAAACAGAAUGGAAGAGAAUAUAUCCUGGAGAAGAGAUCUCAAAUGAAAGAGGAGAAGAAGAUGAAAGAGAAGGGGGAGAGGAAAAGAAUAUGACAGACAACAGACUAUGCAACUCAGUCUUUCCAAACAUGAGUGGAGACAGAUGAAAAAGGUUCCCAAGAAGAGGAAGAAUCCUACAGGACCUGAAAAUGAUACAAUUUCUUUAGCAAAGCAUUUUUUCUGAAGCCUUGCUAAGUAGUUCUGCCUUCCUAGCUCACAGAAUUGUUAUUUUCUUUCAUUAAUAUCAUUAUUAUUGUAUUAAUGUAUAAUCAUCAUAAUUUAUAUUACAUAUAAUCUAGUUGUGUUAUUAUAGAAUUGUCAUUAAUUAUUAAAUAUAAUUAAAUAUAAA